RNAcentral lists this ribosomal RNA (527 nucleotides) under Metschnikowia kipukae. RNAcentral's name for it is "LSU rRNA". It matches the Rfam family "Eukaryotic large subunit ribosomal RNA", at positions 22 to 662 of the family's 3401-position model. The record is from RNAcentral. Lineage: Eukaryota; Fungi; Ascomycota; Pichiomycetes; Serinales; Metschnikowiaceae.
UACCCGCUGAACUUAAGCAUAUCAAUAAGCGGAGGAAAAGAAACCAACAGGGAUUACCUCAGUAACGGCGAGUGAAGCGGUAAAAGCUCAAAUUUGAAAUCUUCGGAAUUGUAAUUUGUAGGAUAGUCUAGUCAACACAUUAAGUUCAUUGGAAAAUGACGCCUUAGAGGGUGAUAGCCCCGUAGUGAAGACACUUUCAGUCUAUCCCAAGAGUCGGGUUGUUUGGGAAUGCAGCUCUAAGUGGGUGGUAAAUUCCAUCUAAAGCUAAAUAUUGGCGAGAGACCGAUAGCGAACAAGUACAGUGAUGGAAAGAUGAAAAGCACUUUGAAAAGAGAGUGAAAUAGUACGUGAAAUUGUUGAAAGGGAAGGGCUUGCGGGGGGUGAGAGAGUGAAGACACCAGUGAGGAAAAGGGGAAAGAGAUGUAACUAGAAAUAGUAUUAUACUCUUUUCUGAUACUCUUUGGAGUCUUCAGGACCGCUAAACAGGACUCUCUCUUAACCGCCGCAAGUCGCCCGUCUUGAAACAC